This is a transfer RNA of 73 nucleotides. It matches the Rfam family "tRNA". From Rfam's summary of the family: Transfer RNA (tRNA) molecules are approximately 80 nucleotides in length. Their secondary structure includes four short double-helical elements and three loops (D, anti-codon, and T loops). The record is from Rfam.
GGGCGGUUAGCUCAGCUGGUAGAGCGUCGGCCUUACAAGCCGAAUGCCGGGGGUUCGAUCCCCUCACCGCCCA